GUGGCCAUCAAGCGUGUAUCCUUGCAGAAGAAAGCGAAGGUGAAGCUCGAUUUCCAAGUACCGAGUGAAGCAGGAGAGAAGUCGUACACACUCUACUUCAUGUGCGACUCUUACUUAGGCUGUGACCAAGAGUACGCUUUCUCCGUUGAUGUCAAGGAGUCUGGCGCUGAAGAUCAGAUGGAAGAGUGAUCUUGUGUUUCAGGGGUGCUGUGGAUUCUGGAGAAGAGCAUUCUCACUUUUAUGUAAUAUGUGUCCUGAGUUUUAGACCAAAAUUGUGCUUCUGUACUGUUUGUUUUUGUUUUGUCUGGACCAAAGUCGAAACAGUAGACGUGUCAAAAACUCGUUUUGAGUUCUGUUUCUCUGAAAGCUGAGAUUUGAGAAACGAAUAUUAAUGAAAUGCAGCAACUUUUAUUAA
Brassica oleracea var. oleracea is the source of this 415-nucleotide long non-coding RNA. RefSeq lists it as uncharacterized. Lineage: Eukaryota; Viridiplantae; Streptophyta; Magnoliopsida; Brassicales; Brassicaceae. The record is from RefSeq and is a predicted model, not a curated record. The transcript has 2 exons.